AGAACUUGAUCAAUAUUAGGCAGGGGAAAGAUAGAGUAAAUGUGUUUAUAAUAUUUAGUCCUCAUUUUAAAAAACUCUCCAUUCUCCUCACUCUAAAAAAUUUUCAUUCUCCUCGUUCUAAAAGAUCAACGAGUACUCUAUUUGUAACAUAAAACUCAUUCUAAAAAACUCUCGAUUCUUCUCACUCUAAAAAAUUCUCCAUUCUCCUCGUUCUAAAAAAAUCAACGAGUACUCCAUCUGUAACAUAAAACUCACUCUAAAAAACUCUCCAUUCUCCUCACUCUAAAAAACUCUCCAUUCUUCUUGUUCGAAAAGAUCAACAAGUACUCCAUUUAUAACAUAAAACCCAUUCUAAAAAACUUUCCAUUCUCCUCACUCUAAUAAAGCAAUAAGUAUUCCAUUUGUAACAUAAAACUAG
RNAcentral lists this long non-coding RNA (418 nucleotides) under Setaria viridis. Its description in RNAcentral is "long non-coding RNA (SVIR_LNC008785)". The record is from RNAcentral. Lineage: Eukaryota; Viridiplantae; Streptophyta; Magnoliopsida; Poales; Poaceae.